Molecule: ribosomal RNA, 544 nt
Filed under: uncultured Glomus
Lineage: Eukaryota; Fungi; Glomeromycota; Glomeromycetes; Glomerales; Glomeraceae
Description: LSU rRNA
Rfam family: Eukaryotic large subunit ribosomal RNA
Source: RNAcentral
UUCGGUUGACCUUAUGACGCUUUACGAUACGCUUUCAAAGAGUCGAGUUGUUUGGGAUUGCAGCUCAAAAUGGGAGGUAAAUUUCUCCUAAGGCUAAAUAUCGGCGAGAGACCGAUAGCGAACAAGUACCGUGAGGGAAAGAUGAAAAGAACUUUGAAAAGAGAGUAAAAUAGUACGUGAAAUUGUUGAAAGGGAAACGAUUGAAGUCAGUCGUACCGACGAGAAAUCAACCUUUCGAGUGCGAACUUGUGGGCGUGCGUGAGUCUUUAACGGGCCUCGCUGUUUGCAAUGUUUGUCCUUUUGGGGUGUACUUUUUCGUAUGGUAGGCCAACGUCAGUUUUGAUCACCGUAAAAUGAUCGGAGGAAUGUAGCUUUGAUCUCGUAUUGAAGUGUUAUAGCCUCUGGUAGAUGCGGUGACCGAAACUGAGGAUUGCAACGAAUACCCUCUGGGCUAUCCGUCUGACCUCUGAAAGUUGCUUAGGUGCCGAAAGCGUGCUUACGGCUAUUUAAGUUGACGGUCAACAGGUUAGAACGUGAUUACAUU